CCUACGGGUGGCAGCAGUGGGGAAUAUUGCGCAAUGGGCGAAAGCCUGACGCAGCGACGCCGCGUGAGGGAUGCAGGUCUUCGGAUCGUACACCUCUGUCAGCAGGGAAGAACGGUCACUGUGCUAAUCAGCAGUGAAAUGACGGUCCCUGACUAAGAAGCACCGGCUAAAUACGUGCCAGCAGCCGCGGUAAUACGUAUGGUGCAAGCGUUAUCCGGAUUUACUGGGUGUAAAGGGAGCGCAGGCGGCUCGUUAAGCCUGGUGUGAAAGCCCGCGGCCCAACCGCGGGACUGCAUUGGGGACUGGCGCGCUGGAGUGCCGGAGGGGUAGGCGGAAUUCCUAGUGUAGCGGUGAAAUGCGUAGAUAUUAGGAGGAACACCAGUGGCGAAGGCGGCCUACUGGACGGUGACUGACGCUGAGGCUCGAAAGCGUGGGGAGCAAACAGGAUUAGAUACCCCUGUAGUC
Molecule: ribosomal RNA, 465 nt
Filed under: uncultured bacterium
Lineage: Bacteria
Description: partial 16S ribosomal RNA
Rfam family: Bacterial small subunit ribosomal RNA
Source: RNAcentral